RNAcentral lists this ribosomal RNA (444 nucleotides) under uncultured soil bacterium. RNAcentral's name for it is "bacterial SSU rRNA". It matches the Rfam family "Bacterial small subunit ribosomal RNA", at positions 26 to 518 of the family's 1533-position model. The record is from RNAcentral.
AGAACGAACGCUGGCGGCAUGCCUAAUACAUGCAAGUCGAACGAAGGCUUCGGCCUUAGUGGCGCACGGGUGCGUAACGCGUGGGAAUCUGCCCCUUGGUUCGGAAUAACAGUUGGAAACGACUGCUAAUACCGGAUGAUGACGAAAGUCCAAAGAUUUAUCGCCAAGGGAUGAGCCCGCGUAGGAUUAGCUAGUUGGUGAGGUAAAGGCUCACCAAGGCGACGAUCCUUAGCUGGUCUGAGAGGAUGAUCAGCCACACUGGGACUGAGACACGGCCCAGACUCCUACGGGAGGCAGCAGUAGGGAAUAUUGGACAAUGGGCGCAAGCCUGAUCCAGCAAUGCCGCGUGAGUGAUGAAGGCCUUAGGGUUGUAAAGCUCUUUUACCCGAGAUGAUAAUGACAGUAUCGGAGAAUAAGCCCCGCUAACUCCGUGCCAGCAGCCGC